Eriocheir sinensis (Chinese mitten crab) is the source of this 570-nucleotide long non-coding RNA. RefSeq lists it as uncharacterized. The transcript has 2 exons. NCBI's taxonomy places the organism in Eukaryota, Metazoa, Arthropoda, Malacostraca, Decapoda, Varunidae. The record is from RefSeq and is a predicted model, not a curated record.
UUUCCUGUAACUUUUCUAUCUUCAAUAUUUCAUUUUUUACUUAACGUUUCUUUUCAAUCACCCACUUUUCCUUUCCAAUUUUUAUCAAAACCUAAUUCCGCCAAAAUAGGUGAUAGGUGAUACGUUGGUGGAAAAAGUAGUUUCAUGGUCUUUGAAGAGAUUGAUAAAUAUGACAGAAGCAGGGAUUGCUUUAUUCUCAUGUAAUUGAUUUUUCAAGACAGGACAUUAUGAGGAAAACAGAACUGUUAGUGCAAUAUAAGAAAUAUGUAAGACUAUGUCAAAGGGAACUAAUAAGAAGCAUUUUUUUUCACAUUUGCAGAAAGGGAUCUGAUCACCUGCAAAGCAAUGUAACACCACUUGAGGGUUCAGUUUCACAUAUAUUGCUCAUGCACUAACCCUAAUGCAAGUAAGAUUACAGAGUUACAUUUGCCCAUGAGAAUGAAUCAAUUUUCCAUUUUUUACUUGAUUAUGUACCGUACUUUCUAUUCUUCACACACACACACACACACACACACACACACACACACACACACACACACACACACACACACACACACACACACACACACA